Eucalyptus grandis is the source of this 1262-nucleotide long non-coding RNA. RefSeq lists it as uncharacterized. The record is from RefSeq and is a predicted model, not a curated record. The transcript is spliced from 2 exons. Lineage: Eukaryota; Viridiplantae; Streptophyta; Magnoliopsida; Myrtales; Myrtaceae.
GUCUUCUACCAUAUUAGACUUAGUGUUCCAGACAAUGAGUGACUAAGUUUGUCAGGAAAUAAAAUAAUAACACAGCUUCAAGAUGAGUAUUUAUAGAUACGUCUUAGUGAUUUUAGAGUGCUCAAAAUGAGCAAUUCUCAAGAACAGAUCAGAGAAAGCAUAUAACCUUGGAGCAUAAUCACAUGUCAUUAUUUGAAGAGUUAAAGAGAUAUAUGCGAUGUGAUUUGAGGACUGAACUGAUGAUUUAGAUGCAGAUGGUAAUAAAUUCUUCUCUGGACUCUGAAGGUUAGCCAUUUUGUAUGAGAUAUGCAGGAUUGCAGGUAUCAUAAAGCAAAUCAAAAUUAUGUUAGCAAAAAAUUUGGUACUGUCAUCUCCAAUGAAAGCAAAAUGUGUGAUAAAUGUUGUUGGCCAUGGAAACUGCAAAGAGCAAUAGAUGAUUCAUCUUCAGUGAAAGCAUGUGUCACAGAGAACAUUAUCUUCUCUUCUUGGUUGACCAUUCUUCCUUGUCGGGCAAUUGUUUCUAUCUACUUCAUCAAUUAUGUAUGCUAUCCUUUAAUCCAUAGGAACUUCUCAUCAGUUGCAGGGUUUGGUUGCCCAAAAUCGACUUGGCUUCGCCAAAACUCCUCUUCUUUAGAAGCCUGGCUGGCAUGGCAACCCACUGGCAGUAGGGUGGUCAACCUUGCCUCGGUUUCGUGACAUGCUAUCUUUCCCCUCUGCAUUCCAUAGUCAAGGGAUAAAUAGAUGCCUUGGAGACAGGAGCACCGCUGCAAUAUCAGAGCUUUCUUCUAUUGUCAGAGUUAGCAGAAUCAAAAUGCACAAUGUCAGUUUUUUCAUCUGUCCUGUAUGCACGGGUAAUGCUUACUAACUAUUCUGAUGAUAACAUCUUUUGAGUAUGUCGUUGCAGAACGACAGUGGUCACAUCAUAUAGUCAGCAUUUUACCUCUAAGAGGUGACAACUAGAUCUUUGUCGUGGCAAAUGCAUCAACUUGCUUCAGCAAAUAAGAUUUAUGAAGACAAACCUCUUCAGUGGUGUAUCCUGCAUGUAUCCGGAAGCUCUUGGAUCUGAAUAAUGCAAUGACUAUGUUGUCUACCGGGCUAAAUUGGUUUUCGGCCAGGAGGAUGAAUUGUUGCUUUAGUGGGAGAUUCAAUUUUGAGCCAAGGUGCGAAAAGAACGCUUGAUUUCUUUUUUGGGAGGCUUUAGUUCAAUAUAACUGAAUUUUGGUAGACUGCAGAUGUUAGAACCAAACUUUUCCCAUCUUCAU